Molecule: non-coding RNA, 130 nt
Filed under: Palpitomonas bilix
Lineage: Eukaryota
Source: RNAcentral
AACGUCGUCUGUCCCCGUCCGUGAGGUUCAGUUCAGCGGUUUGCUUAUCGAUGGCGUGCCUGUACGUCUUUGUAUGGAAGGGAUACGUAGAUACAGAGAACCCGUUUCACACCCCCCAGUUGGAUCUGAU